Molecule: ribosomal RNA, 465 nt
Filed under: Vreelandella stevensii
Lineage: Bacteria; Pseudomonadati; Pseudomonadota; Gammaproteobacteria; Oceanospirillales; Halomonadaceae
Description: partial 16S ribosomal RNA
Rfam family: Bacterial small subunit ribosomal RNA
Source: RNAcentral
CCUACGGGGGGCAGCAGUGGGGAAUAUUGGACAAUGGGCGAAAGCCUGAUCCAGCCAUGCCGCGUGUGUGAAGAAGGCCUUCGGGUUGUAAAGCACUUUCAGUGGGGAAGAAAGCCUUGGGGCUAAUACCCUCGAGGAAGGACAUCACCCACAGAAGAAGCACCGGCUAACUCCGUGCCAGCAGCCGCGGUAAUACGGAGGGUGCGAGCGUUAAUCGGAAUUACUGGGCGUAAAGCGCGCGUAGGCGGUCUGAUAAGCCGGUUGUGAAAGCCCCGGGCUCAACCUGGGAACGGCAUCCGGAACUGUCAGGCUAGAGUGCAGGAGAGGAAGGUAGAAUUCCCGGUGUAGCAGUGAAAUGCGUAGAGAUCGGGAGGAAUACCAGUGGCGAAGGCGGCCUUCUGGACUGACACUGACGCUGAGGUGCGAAAGCGUGGGUAGCAAACAGGAUUAGAUACCCUGGUAGUC